This 483-nucleotide ribosomal RNA is filed under the name uncultured bacterium. RNAcentral's name for it is "partial 16S ribosomal RNA". It matches the Rfam family "Bacterial small subunit ribosomal RNA", at positions 30 to 507 of the family's 1533-position model. The record is from RNAcentral.
AUUGAACGCUGGCGGCAGGCCUAACACAUGCAAGUCGAGCGGAUGAAGGGAGCUUGCUCCUGGAUUCAGCGGCGGACGGGUGAGUAAUGCCUAGGAAUCUGCCUGGUAGUGGGGAUAACGUCCGGAAACGGGCGCUAAUACCGCAUACGUCCUGAGGGAGAAAGUGGGGGAUCUUCGGACCUCACGCUAUCAGAUGAGCCUAGGUCGGAUUAGCUAGUUGGUGGGGUAAAGGCCUACCAAGGCGACGAUCCGUAACUGGUCUGAGAGGAUGAUCAGUCACACUGGAACUGAGACACGGUCCAGACUCCUACGGGAGGCAGCAGUGGGGAAUAUUGGACAAUGGGCGAAAGCCUGAUCCAGCCAUGCCGCGUGUGUGAAGAAGGUCUUCGGAUUGUAAAGCACUUUAAGUUGGGAGGAAGGGCAGUAAGUUAAUACCUUGCUGUUCUGACGUUACCAACAGAAUAAGCACCGGCUAACUUCGUG